GGCGGCGUGGAUAAGACAUGCAAGUCGAGCGAGAUUUUUCGUUGUAGCAAUACGAUGGAAAGUCUAGCGGCGAACGGGUGCUUAACACGUGGGCAACCUGCCAUGAAGUGGGGGAUAGCUCGCCGAAAGGCGAAUUAAUACCGCAUGUGAUUAGAGAGGACAUCCUUUCGAGAUUAAAGUCGGGGCAACCUGACGCUUCUUGUGGGGCCCGCGGCCUAUCAGCUAGUUGGUGAGGUAACGGCUCACCAAGGCUUUGACGGGUAGCUGGUCUGAGAGGACGACCAGCCACACUGGGACUGAGACACGGCCCAGACACCUACGGGUGGCAGCAGUCGAGAAUUUUUGACAAUGGGGGAAACCCUGAUCGAGCGACGCCGCGUGGAGGAUGAAGGUCUUCGGAUUGUAAACUCCUGUCAUUUGGGAACAAGGUGCACACGUUAACUGCGUGUGCAUUGAUAGUACCAGAAGAGGAAGAGACGGCUAACUCUGUGCCAGCAGCCGCGGUAAUACAGAGGUCUCAAGCGUU
RNAcentral lists this ribosomal RNA (526 nucleotides) under uncultured Verrucomicrobiota bacterium. RNAcentral describes it as "bacterial SSU rRNA". It matches the Rfam family "Bacterial small subunit ribosomal RNA", at positions 38 to 542 of the family's 1533-position model. Lineage: Bacteria; Pseudomonadati; Verrucomicrobiota. The record is from RNAcentral.